Molecule: ribosomal RNA, 970 nt
Filed under: Ochrobactrum sp.
Lineage: Bacteria; Pseudomonadati; Pseudomonadota; Alphaproteobacteria; Hyphomicrobiales; Brucellaceae
Description: bacterial SSU rRNA
Rfam family: Bacterial small subunit ribosomal RNA
Source: RNAcentral
GGCGGAACGAAUUAUUAUUUCCGGGGGGCUUACAUGCAAGUCGAGCGGGCCCUUCGGGGUCAGCGGCAGACGGGUGAGUAACGCGUGGGAACGUACCAUUUGCUACGGAAUAACUCAGGGAAACUUGUGCUAAUACCGUAUGACCCCCCCUUUAAAAUUUCAGGAAUCAUAAAAUGCCCUGGCAUUUUAUGGGGGGGAAAGAUUUAUCGGCAAAUGAUCGGCCCCCGUUGGAUUAUCUAGUUGGUGGGGUAAAGGCCUACCAAGGCGACAAUCCAUAGCUGGUCUGAGAGGAUGAUCAGCCACACUGGGACUGAAACACGGCCCAAACUCCUACGGGAGGCAGCAGUGGGGAAUAUUGGACAAUGGGCGCAAGCCUGAUCCAGCCAUGCCGCGUGAGUGAUGAAGGCCCUAGGGUUGUAAAGCUCUUUCACCGGUGAAAAUAAUGACGGUAACCGGAAAAGAAGCCCCGGCUAACUUCGUGCCAGCAGCCGCGGUAAUACGAAGGGGGCUAGCGUUGUUCGGAUUUACUGGGCGUAAAGCGCACGUAGGCGGGCUAAUAAGUCAGGGGUGAAAUCCCGGGGCUCAACCCCGGAACUGCCUUUGAUACUGUUAGUCUUGAGUAUGGUAGAGGUGAGUGGAAUUCCGAGUGUAGAGGUGAAAUUCGUAUAUAUUCGGAGGAACACCAGUGGCGAAGGCGGCUCACUGGACCAUUACUGACGCUGAGGUGCGAAAGCGUGGGGAGCAACAGGAUUAGAUACCCUGGUAGUCCACGCCGUAAACGAUGAAUGUUACCCGUUGGGGAGUUUACUCUUCGGUGGCGCAGCUAACGCAUUAAACUUUCCGCCUGGGGAGUACGGUCGCAAGAUUAAAACUCAAAGGAAUUGACGGGGGCCCGCCCAAGCGGUGGAACCAUGUGGUUUAUUUCGAAAGCAACGCGCAGAAACCUUACCAGCCCUUGGACAUCCCGAAU